This 351-nucleotide unclassified non-coding RNA is filed under the name Hevea brasiliensis (rubber tree). The record is from RNAcentral. Lineage: Eukaryota; Viridiplantae; Streptophyta; Magnoliopsida; Malpighiales; Euphorbiaceae.
GAGAGAAAAAAAAAUACUAUAUAUCAAUAAUACUAAAGUUAAAGGAACCUAAUUAAAGAAAAGCAGCUAAGAACAUAGAAUUAUCCCGUUUUCACUCCAUCCAUGUACGAAGGAGAGAAAAGAAAAGGAAGGAAAAAGAAAGAAAACAAACCAAACAAAGAAGAAAAUUUCAAAAUAUAUAUAUAAAUAAAUAAAUAAUUGAAUUUUACGAGACUAGACCAUCACCAUCACCAACAUCUUCAACAUCAUCAUCGUUUUGUGUUGUAGUGGUCACUGCAUUUUUCAUGAUCUUGACCAUUCUUUUCUUGUUUUUGUUUCUUUUUAUUGUUCUUGCUUUCCUUUUGUUUUCCU